UACGAAGGGGGCUAGCGUUGUUCGGAUUUACUGGGCGUAAAGCGCACGUAGGCGGAUCGUUAAGUCGGGGGUGAAAUCCUGGAGCUCAACUCCAGAACUGCCUUCGAUACUGGCGAUCUUGAGUCCGGAAGAGGUGAGUGGAACUCCUAGUGUAGAGGUGAAUUCGUAGAUAUUAGGAAGAACACCAGUGGCGAAGGCGGCUCACUG
RNAcentral lists this ribosomal RNA (207 nucleotides) under uncultured bacterium. RNAcentral describes it as "partial 16S ribosomal RNA". It matches the Rfam family "Bacterial small subunit ribosomal RNA", at positions 524 to 731 of the family's 1533-position model. The record is from RNAcentral.